This 307-nucleotide ribosomal RNA is filed under the name Pseudo-nitzschia pungens. Its description in RNAcentral is "partial Bacterial small subunit ribosomal RNA". It matches the Rfam family "Bacterial small subunit ribosomal RNA", at positions 391 to 695 of the family's 1533-position model. The record is from RNAcentral. Lineage: Eukaryota; Bacillariophyta; Bacillariophyceae; Bacillariales; Bacillariaceae.
GCCAUGCCGCGUGCAGGAAGACGGCCCUAUGGGUUGUAAACUGCUUUUAUACAGGAAGAAACACUCCCUCGUGAGGGAGCUUGACGGUACUGUAAGAAUAAGCACCGGCUAACUCCGUGCCAGCAGCCGCGGUAAUACGGAGGGAGCUAGCGUUGUUCGGAAUUACUGGGCGUAAAGCGCGCGUAGGCGGUUACUCAAGUCAGAGGUGAAAGCCCGGAGCUCAACUCCGGAACUGCCUUUGAAACUAGGUGACUAGAAUCUUGGAGAGGCGAGUGGAAUUCCGAGUGUAGAGGUGAAAUUCGUAGAU